AGGAUCCGAGCGUUAUCCGGAUUUAUUGGGUUUAAAGGGAGCGUAGGCGGAAUUUUAAUUCAGCUGUGAAAGUUCAGGGCUUAACCUUGAAAUUGCAGUUGAUACUGGAGACCUUGAGUGCAGUUGAGGCAGGCGGAAUUCGUGGUGUAGCGGUGAAAUGCUUAGAUAUCACGAAGAACUCCGAUUGCGAAGGCAGCUUGCUAAAGUGUAACUGACGUUCAUGCUCGAAAGUGUGGGUAUCAA
This 243-nucleotide ribosomal RNA is filed under the name uncultured bacterium. Its description in RNAcentral is "partial 16S ribosomal RNA". It matches the Rfam family "Bacterial small subunit ribosomal RNA", at positions 529 to 771 of the family's 1533-position model. The record is from RNAcentral.